AUGGCGGCUCCGGCGGGGCCCACGAGGCUGGCCUACUUCGAUGACAUGUGGGCCCUCCGCGCCCCCGCCACCGUCCUCUCCCUCCACCAGGAGGAGGGCGGCCGGCGAGCGGUGGUGCUGGACGCCACCGUCUUCCACCCGCAGGGCGGCGGCCAGCCGGCCGACACCGGGGCAAUCGUCUCCGCCGCCGGCACCGGCGCCAGGUUCCUCGUCGAGGACGUGCGCGUCAAGGAUGGGGUGGUCUUCCACUAUGGCAGAUUCGAGGAUGCUGCUGCUGGAGAGGAGCUGAGCCAAGGGCAGAGUGUCAGCUUGGAAAUCGACGCGGAACGGCGCAAGCUCAACUCCAGGCUUCACUCUGCAGGUCAUUUGCUGGACAGUUGUAUGACCAACCUUGGCCUUCAUCUGGAACCUGGGAAAGGCUAUCAUUUUCCUGAUGGGCCUUCCGUUGAGUAUAAGGGAGUUGUUCCAGCAGAUCAGUUACAGGAUAAGAAAAUCCAGCUGGAAAAGGAGGCGAACGAACUGAUUUCGAAAGGAAGCAAGGUUUUGGUCUCUGUUUUUCCCUAUGAGGAGGCGGCUAAGUUGUGUGGAGGUGCUCUGCCUAGUUACAUUCCACAAGAUAGCACUCCCCGCAUUGUGAAAUUUGGUAACUAUCCUGGUUGUCCUUGUGGAGGCACUCAUGUAGCCGAUAUUGCAGACAUCGGCAACCUAAAGGUCACAAAUAUACGGGUCAAGAAAGGCGUGACUAAGGUCUCCUACAGCAUCAGCCCAUAA
This 771-nucleotide ribosomal RNA is filed under the name Triticum aestivum (bread wheat). RNAcentral describes it as "partial small subunit ribosomal RNA". Lineage: Eukaryota; Viridiplantae; Streptophyta; Magnoliopsida; Poales; Poaceae. The record is from RNAcentral.